Molecule: ribosomal RNA, 197 nt
Filed under: uncultured bacterium
Lineage: Bacteria
Description: partial 16S ribosomal RNA
Rfam family: Bacterial small subunit ribosomal RNA
Source: RNAcentral
ACUCCUACGGGAGGCAGCAGUGGGGAAUAUUGGACAAUGGGGGCAACCCUGAUCCAGCGACGCCGCGUGUGUGAAGAAGGCCUGCGGGUUGUAAAGCACUUUUAGUGGGGAUGAGAAGCACAGGGCUAAUACUUCUGUGUCUUGACCUAACCCAAAGAAAAAGCACCGGCUAACUCUGUGCCAGCAGCCGCGGUAAU